AAUAAGUGCAGUUUUGCACUAUCUACGUUCAACAUUUGACCGUUCGUCUUAUUUGAAAAAUUUUUAUGAUUAGUAUUUUUAUUGUUAUUAGAUGAUAAAAUAUGAAUAGUACUUAUGUGUGACUAAAUAUUUUUAAAUUUUUCAAAUAAGAUGAAUGGUCAACGUUGAGCAUGAAUAUCUACGGCUGUACUUAUU
This is a non-coding RNA of Oryza barthii, 195 nucleotides long. Lineage: Eukaryota; Viridiplantae; Streptophyta; Magnoliopsida; Poales; Poaceae. The record is from Rfam.